GGGGCCGGCACGCGGAGGACGGCAUAGCGGUCACAGCAUGGAGCAGGUCCCCACCCUCCAGUGGGACUUCAAGAUACAGCGGCCCUUCCCCCUACGUGUCAAGGGACUUCUCCCAGCCUGUCUGCCUCUUCUCCCAGUUACAGCAGCUGCAGCAACUGCUGCCACCAUUUCAUGACAGUGAGAAGAUGGGGUGGGCUAGAAGGCUCGCCACAUGAGCCCCAAAGGCAGCACGGCAGCCUUGGCCAGGUGGGCGGCUGCUUGCCUCUUACCCAGGUUCCGGGCACGGGACUGGGGUGUGGGCUAGGCUUAGUGACCAGGGAAGGGCCCCUUGCUUGAGCUGUCACUCUUCAAGGAGCUCUGCGUAUCCACCCACCCCCACCCCACCCCGAGUCUGACCAGUCAGGCCAGUGAGUAGGAGGCUCCGAUUCUGGCCCAGAGCCCUAGCUCUAAGAGGGGCAGCGAAGGGUGAGGGUGGAGUGUCCGCUAUGCCCCCAGCAAUGCUGACUCUAUAGGGUCCUUGGGUGGGGUUUGGAGUGGCAGAGUUGGCUUUUCUGUCAUUAGAUGAGCCGGGAAAUGCUGAACCUGUCCAUGUAACCGUCUUGUCCCUGCUCUGGGCUCCUUUCAGCUGCUUGCUGUGGGGUCUUGGACUCUUUAGGUCUCUCCCCUCCUAGUGAGCUCUGGUUCCCCACACUGUUGCAGAGGGGGUUCAGGCAUGGGCUACCUGUGAUAGUGAAGAGUCAGCAGAUGGAUGACCCUAAAUUCCGGGAGGUUGGGUGGCAUGCUGUGCUCUGGUUUUCUUUCCUGGGCUGGGCUGUGAGGUUUGGGGCGGGGUCAUGGGUUGCUCCCGUCUCUAGGCCUGUUUGGCAUCUUGGCCUUAAUUUAAAUGGCCAGUGGCAGCUCCCAAAGCACCAGGCCUGGUAGGGGGAAGGGGACACAGCCCCUCGUCUUGCUGUGUACUGAUGGACGCACGGGAAGGGGAGCCACUAAAGGCCACUGAGUUCUUCAGUAUAAAAUCAGUUUUAUGUUA
RNAcentral lists this long non-coding RNA (1027 nucleotides) under Mus musculus (house mouse). Its description in RNAcentral is "predicted gene, 57393". The record is from RNAcentral. Lineage: Eukaryota; Metazoa; Chordata; Mammalia; Rodentia; Muridae.